GACGAACGCUGGCGGCGUGCUUAACACAUGCAAGUCGAACGGAAAGGCCCUGCUUUUGUGGGGUUCUCGAGUGGCGAACGGGUGAGUAACACGUGAGUAACCUGCCCUUGACUUUGGGAUAACUUCAGGAAACUGGGGCUCAUACCGGAUAGGAGCUCCUGCUGCAUGGUGUGGGUUGGAAAGUUUCGGCGGUUGGGGAUGGACUCGCGGCUUAUCAGCUUGUUGGUGGGGUAGUGGCUUACCAAGGCUUUGACGGGUAGCCGGCCUGAGAGGGUGACCGGCCACAUUGGGACUGAGAUACGGCCCAGACUCCUACGGGAGGCAGCAGUGGGAAAUAUUGCACAGUGGGCGGAAGCCUGAGGCAGAAACGCCGCGUGCGGGAUGACGGCCUUCGGGUUGUAAACCGAUUUGGAAUGUGACGAAGCGUGAGUGACGGUAAUGGGUAAAGAAGCACCGGCUAACUACGUG
Molecule: ribosomal RNA, 468 nt
Filed under: uncultured bacterium
Lineage: Bacteria
Description: partial 16S ribosomal RNA
Rfam family: Bacterial small subunit ribosomal RNA
Source: RNAcentral